This is a long non-coding RNA of Eriocheir sinensis (Chinese mitten crab), 2424 nucleotides long. RefSeq lists it as uncharacterized. Lineage: Eukaryota; Metazoa; Arthropoda; Malacostraca; Decapoda; Varunidae. The record is from RefSeq and is a predicted model, not a curated record. The transcript is spliced from 2 exons.
CCGUACUUUUUAUUAAGACUGCUCGUGAGUGUUGGUAUACAAUGCUCUCUACGUCGUAUACAAGGUGUGUUGCACUUAUAAGAACGUAUAUACUAUUACAUAAAGGCGUGGGACUAGAAGUGACACACACACACACACACACACACACACACACACACACGAUAGAAAACAAGGAAUACAAGAUACAAAUGCUAUACCUCGCUAACCUUACGAGCUAUACACUGGAGGAGGAAGAGCUAGGAAGAGGAGGAGGAGGAGGAGGGGAAUGCUGUGGGUUGGUGGGCCAUUGUGAUAUGUGCUGGGAAGAGAAGGAAAAGGAGACGAUCGGAGGAGGAGGAGGAGAUGGACGAGAGGUGAAAUAAAGAAAGAUGUCGAAGAUAGGUAUGUGCUAGAAAGAGGAGGAGAAAAACGUGGUAAUAAAGAAGAGAAGAAAGAUGAAAAUGAGGUAUGAGCGGGAAAGAGGAAGAGGAGGAGAAGGCAAAUGAGGAGACAUAAUUGAAUCGAAUUGAAAUAUUUAUUGUUGUAAAAUACAACAAGAUGAAGAUGAGGUGGAGUAGGAUAUGGAGGCAAAAAGGAAACAGACUGCUUGGGGGGGGGGGGGGGGGGGGGGUAAAACUUGCUAUACUGGGGUGUUUCAAAGUGUUUCAUAUUGUGUUUCAGACCACAUGGAAUCAGGGUAGACUUGUGUUGCUGGUUUCUGCAUGAUAUCAAAGAGUCAAUCACACUACACAGGCUGGGCGGUAACAGUGGGACACGGAGGCACGGAAUGUUUCAAAUGUUUCAAAAAGUUUCAGUCUAUCCUAGAAAAUGAAAAUGGGAGGAUAUCACCGAAUUCACUGAGUUUUAAGAGGUCAGUAAAGUCACGUGGUGUUUCAAAAAGUUUCACUGCGUUUUGGGAUGUUAGUAAAUGUUUCAAGUGUAAAAUGUCACGGGUUGUUUCAAUUAUAUGUUUCACUGGAGGAUAUCACCGAAUUCACUGAGUUUUAAGAGGUCAAUAAAUGAUUCAGUGUUUAAAGUCACGUGGUGUUUCAAAGAGUUUCACUGCGAGAGUAUCACCGAUUUCACUGCGUUCUGGGAUAUUAAUGUUUCAGUGUAAAAUGUCACGGCCUGUUUCAGUUAUGUUUCACUGGGAAAGUAUCGCCUAUUUCUUUCGCUGGGUUUCAAGGGAUCAGUGAAUGUUUUAGUGUUUCAAAUAUGAGUUUCACUGGGAGAGUAUCACUUAUUUCACUGGGUUUUAAGAGGUAUAUAGUUUUAAUGUAAAUAGCCACGUGGUUUUUCAUAAAGUAGUUUCACUGGGAGAGUUUCACCGGACUCAUUAAUGUUUCAGUGUAAGAGCUAAGGGGUGUUUCAUAUAUUAGUUUCACCUAUUUCACUGGGUUGUAAGAGGUUUAAAGAAGUUUCAGUGUAUAUAGCCACGCGGUUUUUCAUAGUUUAACUGGGAGAGUUUCAUUGGACUCAUUAAUAAGUGUUUCAAGGUAAAAAGCUAUGGGGUGUUUAAGAUAUCAGUUUCACCUAUUUCACUGGGUUGUAAGAAGUUUAUAGAAGUUUCAGUGUAUAAAGCCACGUGGAGUUUCAUAUAAUAGUUUCACCAAUUUCACUGCCUUCUAUAGGUGAUCAAUUAAUGUUUCCGCCAGUGUUUAACGUCAUGGAGUAUUUCAAGACAUAGGGCCGGAUUCUUAAACAUUUCUGCCCCCAAACUCACAUAUUUGUCAAGGCUUUCGUAGGAGUUAUGAGCAUUUUCAGGGGUAGUUGAAUGACCCUGGUGCUAGUUCAACUCUUCCUCUGUACCGUGAAUCAAAGAAACAACUCCUUAGAACCCGAUUGAUCUCCUUUUUGGCCUUUGGAAAUAGUUGAUGUGAAAGGUGGAAGCGUUCAAGAAUACCGACGAUAGUUUCAGCCACACUAAAGAGCUCAAGACCCGUAUUCUCAAACCUCUGGGCGCCCAAUUACACAUAUUUGACAAGGCUUUCGCAGGCGUUUCGGGCAUUUUCAGGUGUAGUUUAAUGGCCCUGGUGGUUGUUUAACUCUUCUUCUGUACCAUGAAUGUGAAAAAAAACUCAUGAAAGCCCGAUUAAUUUCCAUUUUGACCUUUGAAAAUAGUUGAUGUGCGAGGUGGAAGCGUCUGAGAAUACCGCCCCAGGCAUGUCUUGGUAUACGAUAAAAGAGGUUCUUCAAAAUGAUUCACCCACACGCCGAGUCGAGCAGCGUGGCGCACUGCUUCGGAGCGCUCGAGACAGGCGCGGCAGGAGUCACCUGGGCCCCGGAGAGACGGGAGGGGGGGGGGGGGGGAAAUGGACGGGAGGAUUGACGGUUUGGAUAAUAUUAUAAAGUAGAAUAAAUAUUGCCUUACUUAUGGACUAGAAAAGUGAUAUUGGACUCUCUCUCUCUCUCUCUCUCUCUCUCUCUCUCUCUCUCUCUCUCUCU